GCUUUGGGGGCUGCUUACCAUGCAAGUCGAACGGCAGCGCGGGGCAACCUGGCGGCGAGUGGCGAACGGGUGAGUAAUAUAUCGGAACGUACCCUGGAGUGGGGGAUAACGUAGCGAAAGUUACGCUAAUACCGCAUACGAUCUAAGGAUGAAAGCAGGGGACCGCAAGGCCUUGUGCUCCUGGAGCGGCCGAUAUCUGAUUAGCUAGUUGGUGGGGUAAAGGCCUACCAAGGCAUCGAUCAGUAGCUGGUCUGAGAGGACGACCAGCCACACUGGAACUGAGACACGGUCCAGACUCCUACGGGAGGCAGCAGUGGGGAAUUUUGGACAAUGGGCGCAAGCCUGAUCCAGCAAUGCCGCGUGAGUGAAGAAGGCCUUCGGGUUGUAAAGCUCUUUUGUCAGGGAAGAAACGGUGAGAGCUAAUAUCUCUUGCUAAUGACGGUACCUGAAGAAUAAGCACCGGCUAACUACGUGCCAGCAGCCGCGGUAAUACGUAGGGUGCAAGCGUUAAUCGGAAUUACUGGGCGUAAAGCGUGCGCAGGCGGUUUUGUAAGUCUGUCGUGAAAUCCCCGGGCUCAACCUGGGAAUUGCGAUGGAGACUGCAAGGCUAGAAUCUGGCAGAGGGGGGUAGAAUUCCACGUGUAGCAGUGAAAUGCGUAGAGAUGUGGAGGAACACCGAUGGCGAAGGCAGCCCCCUGGGUCAAGAUUGACGCUCAUGCACGAAAGCGUGGGGAGCAAACAGGAUUAGAUACCCUGGUAGUCCACGCCCUAAACGAUGUCUACUAGUUGUCGGGUUUUAAUUAACUUGGUAACGCAGCUAACGCGUGAAGUAGACCGCCUGGGGAGUACGGUCGCAAGAUUAAAACUCAAAGGAAUUGACGG
Molecule: ribosomal RNA, 882 nt
Filed under: uncultured bacterium
Lineage: Bacteria
Description: bacterial SSU rRNA
Rfam family: Bacterial small subunit ribosomal RNA
Source: RNAcentral